AGCCCCGUGGUGGAGUACACAUUGGAUUGCAAAUCCAAAGACGCAGAUUAGACCCUGCCGGGGCUU
This 66-nucleotide transfer RNA is filed under the name Parabotia banarescui. RNAcentral's name for it is "tRNA-Cys". It matches the Rfam family "tRNA". From Rfam's summary of the family: Transfer RNA (tRNA) molecules are approximately 80 nucleotides in length. Their secondary structure includes four short double-helical elements and three loops (D, anti-codon, and T loops). Further hydrogen bonds mediate the characteristic L-shaped molecular structure. tRNAs have two regions of fundamental functional importance: the anti-codon, which is responsible for specific mRNA codon recognition, and the 3' end, to which the tRNAs corresponding amino acid is attached (by aminoacyl-tRNA synthetases). tRNAs cope with the degeneracy of the genetic code in two manners: having more than one tRNA (with a specific anti-codon) for a particular amino acid; and 'wobble' base-pairing, i.e. permitting non-standard base-pairing at the 3rd anti-codon position. Lineage: Eukaryota; Metazoa; Chordata; Actinopteri; Cypriniformes; Botiidae. The record is from RNAcentral.